RNAcentral lists this ribosomal RNA (258 nucleotides) under uncultured bacterium. RNAcentral describes it as "partial 16S ribosomal RNA". It matches the Rfam family "Bacterial small subunit ribosomal RNA", at positions 96 to 354 of the family's 1533-position model. The record is from RNAcentral.
UGGAGGACGGGUGAGUAACGCGUGGAAAACCUGCCGUAUACUGGGGGAUAACACUUAGAAAUAGGUGCUAAUACCGCAUAAGCGCACAGCUUCGCAUGAAGCGGUGUGAAAAACUCUGGUGGUAUACGAUGGUUCCGCGUCUGAUUAGCUAGUUGGUGGGGUAAUGGCCUACCAAGGCAACGAUCAGUAGCCGGCCUGAGAGGGUGAACGGCCACAUUGGGACUGAGACACGGCCCAAACUCCUACGGAAGGCAGCAG